RNAcentral lists this microRNA precursor (267 nucleotides) under Dimocarpus longan. RNAcentral's name for it is "partial precursor microRNA MIR393". The stretch from base 165 to 265 matches the Rfam family "mir-393 microRNA precursor family". The record is from RNAcentral. Lineage: Eukaryota; Viridiplantae; Streptophyta; Magnoliopsida; Sapindales; Sapindaceae.
AGAGAGAGAGAGCACUUGGUGGUGGUCUCUUUUAUAUUGAAGUCUCCCUGAAACUACUUUCCUCCAUAAUAUAGGAAGAGAGAGUGAUAGAGAGAGAGAGUGGGAGAGAGAGAGAAAGAGGGUUUUGAAGGAGAAGUGUUUGGUUAUGGUUUUGAACAGCAACUAGAGAAGGCAUCCAAAGGGAUCGCAUUGAUCCUAAACCUUCCUCAUUCUACAUUUUUAUGUGAUUUCUUUUGGAUCAUGCUAUCCCUUUGGAUUCCUCCUUUG